CCUCCUACGGGGGGCAGCAGUGAGGAAUAUUGGUCAAUGGACGCAAGUCUGAACCAGCCAUGCCGCGUGCAGGAUGACGGCUCUAUGAGUUGUAAACUUCUUUUGUACGGGGGUAAACCCCGAUACGUGUAUCGGGUUGAAAGGAUCGUACGGAUAAGGAUCGGCUAACUCCGGGCCAGCAGCCGCGGGAAUACGGAGGAUCCGAGCGUUAUCCGGAUUUAUUGGGGUUAAAGGGUGCGUAGGCGGUGUGAUAAGUUAGAGGGGAAAUGUCGGGGGUCAACCCCGAAACUGC
RNAcentral lists this ribosomal RNA (292 nucleotides) under uncultured bacterium. Its description in RNAcentral is "partial 16S ribosomal RNA". It matches the Rfam family "Bacterial small subunit ribosomal RNA", at positions 335 to 624 of the family's 1533-position model. The record is from RNAcentral.